Molecule: unclassified non-coding RNA, 355 nt
Filed under: Hevea brasiliensis (rubber tree)
Lineage: Eukaryota; Viridiplantae; Streptophyta; Magnoliopsida; Malpighiales; Euphorbiaceae
Source: RNAcentral
UAAAUACCAAAAUACUAUAUAAAAGAAACUAAAUCGUACCGAAAUAACAAAAGAACCGAAUUUAACUAAAUCGAUUCAGUUCAUCAAUUUUUAGUAAAGCCUAAUACGCACAAAACAAUGCCGUUCCAAGUCUUUGUGGACUUUAGAGCAUGAGCAACAAAGAAAGUUUGAACAAAUUUUAAUCCCGCAGCAACCCAAAAUAUGAAGAACCGAAGAAUUUGAGGAAUGUAAUGUGAUAAGUGUGUGAUAAGGGUGUGCCUAGAAGGCGACGAACUGAAGACCGCCAAGACAUGCAUUGAUGGGCGCGCAGGUCGAUGGUGGUGAAGGAAGAGUCAAGAGAGAGAGAGAGAGAGAG